AUGCCGGCGGUGAUGGCCGGCGUUGACGGCGGCGGUCGAUCCCUGGAUUGCCGCAGCUUCUGGAAGGCCGGCGCCAGCGAGGGCCCCUCCGUCCCCAUCCGCGAGUUCCACGAUGCGCUGGAGACAGGGGACUUCGACCGCGCCCGCGUGCACCCCAAGUUCCUCCACACCAACGCCACCUCCCACAAGUGGGCGUUCGGAGCUAUAUCUGAACUUCUUGACAAUGCGGUAGAUGAGAUCUGCAAUGGUGCCACAUUCAUAAAAGUGGAUAAAAGCACCAACACGAAAGACAACAGUCCAAUGCUAGUUUUUCAAGACGAUGGAGGAGGAAUGGAUCCCGAAGGGGUGCGCCAGUGCAUGAGCCUAGGAUUCUCAACCAAAAAGUCAAAGACAACCAUUGGCCAGUAUGGAAAUGGCUUUAAGACAAGCACAAUGAGACUCGGUGCUGACGCAAUUGUUUUUACUCGUGCAAUACGUGAAAGUAAAGUUACCUUGAGUAUUGGUUUGCUCUCUUACACUUUCCUGAGGAGAACAAUGAAGGAUGACAUAGUUGUCCCCAUGCUUGAUUUUGAAGUCCAAGAUGGCCAAAUAGCACCUUUGGUUUAUGGUUCACAGGGUGAUUGGGAUAGUAGCCUAAAGAUAAUACUUGACUGGUCCCCUUUUUCUUCGAAGGAAGAACUGCUACAGCAGUUCGAGGAUAUGGAUAGUCAUGGAACCAAGGUGGUGAUAUACAAUUUAUGGAUGAAUGACGAUGGUCUUUUAGAACUUGACUUUGAUGAUGAUGAUGAGGACAUAUUGCUUCGUGAUCAAGGUCAAAACAGUGGGGCGUCAACGAAGAUUCAAAAAGAAAUUAUUCAGCAACAUAUAUCUCACAGACUGAGAUUCUCAUUACGUGUGUCAGUGAAGGUAGAUAUUGGCUUUGCAAAAGAGGCUCCUGUUUUGGGCAUUUUUGGGAUUAAUGUCUACCAUAAAAAUCGACUAAUCAUGCCAUUCUGGAAGGUCCUUCAAGAAGCAUCUAGUAGAGGGAGAAGUGUUAUAGGUGUACUUGAGGCAAAUUUUAUUGAGCCGGCACAUGACAAGCAAGAUUUUGAGAGGACUCCACUGUUCAUUAGGCUGGAAACAAAACUGAAACAAAUUAUCGUUGAUUAUUGGAAAGAAAAGUGUCAUCUAAUAGGUUACCAGCCAAUCGAUCCGAAAUUGAGAUCCCAGUAUAAGGCUGCUCUUAAAGAUUCGGGCGGCCCUAGUGUGAAGAUUCGGCAUGAAGCUUCCACUGCUCAGAAGACUGGAGGGCACCUCUCAAAUUUGCUCCCACAGACAUAUGAUGAUGAAGCAGCUUUUAGACUGACAGCUAACAGGGCAGGUUCUGCUUUGCAUUCGUCUGGCCAAGGUAGUAUGGACUCAGCAGGCUUGGAAGAGGAUCUGGUAGAUAUUGGCUCUCUUGGUGUUCUUGAUCCCAGUUGCAAUGAGAAGUUGAGUGAAGAAAAUUUGGUUCUGUUCACAAGGCGUGAAGAUCUUCGGCAACGAGAUACACAGUUGAAGCAGACGAUUGGCGAGCUGGAGCAUGAACUAGAGGAAACAAGAAGGAAGUGCUCUCAGCUCGCAGCUGAACUGCAGUUGCGGAGGAGCCAGCAACAACAUUACAUGUGA
This 1647-nucleotide ribosomal RNA is filed under the name Triticum aestivum (bread wheat). RNAcentral's name for it is "partial small subunit ribosomal RNA". The record is from RNAcentral. Lineage: Eukaryota; Viridiplantae; Streptophyta; Magnoliopsida; Poales; Poaceae.